GACGACGCUGGCGGCGUGGAUUAGGCAUGCAAGUCGAACGGUAUCAUCCUUUCGGGGGUGAGAGAGUGGCGAACUGGUGAGUAACACGUAGGUUAUCUACCCUCAAGACGGGGACAACCCAGGGAAACUUGGGCUAAUACCGGAUGUGAGCAACUUUUAGUUGUUUGAAAGGUGGCGUAAGCUGUCGCUUGGGGAUGAGCCUGCGUCCUAUUAGUUAGUUGGUGAGGUAACGGCUCACCUAGGCAAUGAUAGGUAGGCGGCCUUAACGGGUGGUCGCCCACACUGGGAUUGAGAUACGGCCCAGACUCCUACGGGAGGCAGCAGUCGAGAAUAGUCUACAAUGGUCGGAAGACUGAUAGUGCGACGCCGCGUGAACGAUGAAUCCCUUCGGGGUGUAAAGUUCUUUUAUAUGUGAGCAGUGCUUCUUAUAUUAACAGUAUGGGGAGAGAGAUAUUAGCAUAUGAAUAAGCCAACGGCUAACUCCGUG
This 487-nucleotide ribosomal RNA is filed under the name uncultured bacterium. Its description in RNAcentral is "bacterial SSU rRNA". It matches the Rfam family "Bacterial small subunit ribosomal RNA", at positions 33 to 507 of the family's 1533-position model. The record is from RNAcentral.